AACACCCCAUCUCGAGUCGACCCAUCCGAGUGUCGACCAGUGUUUUUCACACGAGCAUCCGCUCGGGUGGGGAGGAAGA
This 79-nucleotide non-coding RNA is filed under the name unclassified sequences. The record is from Rfam.